RNAcentral lists this ribosomal RNA (253 nucleotides) under uncultured bacterium. Its description in RNAcentral is "partial 16S ribosomal RNA". It matches the Rfam family "Bacterial small subunit ribosomal RNA", at positions 524 to 776 of the family's 1533-position model. The record is from RNAcentral.
UACAGAGGUCUCAAGCGUUGUUCGGAAUUACUGGGCGUAAAGGGUGCGCAGGCGGCGUGGGGAGUCAAAUGUGUAAUUCAGGGGCUCAACCCCUGCACUGCGCUUGAUACGUCCGCGCUCGAGCUUUGGAGAGGAGUCUGGAAUUCUCGGUGUAGCAGUGAAAUGCGUGGAUAUCGAGAAGAACACUUAGGGCGUAGGCAAGACUCUGGACAAAUGCUGACGCUCAUGCACGAAGGCUAGGGUAGCGAACGGG